CAUAGGUGGAUUGAGCCAUCAUAUUCAUGCGCUAAAGGAAAUGGUAGUAUUCCCACUUUUAUAUCCAGAAAUUUUUGAAAAGUUUAAAAUUCAGCCUCCAAGGCAUAUUUGAUGAGACCUUCUAUAAUAUUUUUUGAUGAAAUAGAUGGAUUAGCUCCAGUUCGCUCUAGCAGACAAGAUCAGAUCCACAGCUCUAUAGUAUCAACCCUCCUUGCCCUUAUGGAUGGAUUAGAUAAUAGGGGUGAAAUUGUUGUUAUUGGUGCUACAAACAGACUUGACUCUAUAGAUCCUGCACUCAGGAGACCUGGUCGUUUUGACAGAGAAUUCCUCUUCAACCUGCCUGAUCAAAAGGCAAGAAAACACAUCUUACAGAUCCAUACCAGGGACUGGAAUCCAAAAUUGUCAGAUGCAUUUUUAGGUGAAUUGGCU
Molecule: long non-coding RNA, 429 nt
Filed under: Pan troglodytes (chimpanzee)
Lineage: Eukaryota; Metazoa; Chordata; Mammalia; Primates; Hominidae
Description: long non-coding RNA NONPTRT010410
Source: RNAcentral